Molecule: long non-coding RNA, 270 nt
Filed under: Carica papaya (papaya)
Lineage: Eukaryota; Viridiplantae; Streptophyta; Magnoliopsida; Brassicales; Caricaceae
Description: long non-coding RNA (CPAP_LNC009068)
Source: RNAcentral
AAUGAAGCAAGUGGUGGUGUUAUAGUGAAUAAAACAUCUCGACAAGCUAGAGAAUUGAUAGUGAUCAUGGCAGCCAUUUCCUAGUGAUUCGGUUCCACUCGGGACACCUCUCAGAGAGUGAAUGAGUUAAGUAUCUCUUCCCUUGAGUUUUAAAUUUCUGAAUUAACUCAUUUGGUGAGGAAUAUGACUGUUGGGAAUAACCCUCGAGCAAGGGUUUAUGGAAUUUGUGCACAUCUUGGACAUCCUACAGACAUGUGUCCUACACUUCAA